RNAcentral lists this ribosomal RNA (877 nucleotides) under Wolbachia endosymbiont of Nosopsyllus laeviceps laeviceps. RNAcentral's name for it is "bacterial SSU rRNA". It matches the Rfam family "Bacterial small subunit ribosomal RNA", at positions 76 to 993 of the family's 1533-position model. Lineage: Bacteria; Pseudomonadati; Pseudomonadota; Alphaproteobacteria; Rickettsiales; Anaplasmataceae. The record is from RNAcentral.
UGCUAUGGUAUAACUUAGUGGCAGACGGGUGAGUAAUGUAUAGGAAUCUACCUAGUAGUACGGAAUAAUUGUUGGAAACGGCAACUAAUACCGUAUACGCCCUACGGGGGAAAAAUUUAUUGCUAUUAGAUGAGCCUAUAUUAGAUUAGCUAGUUGGUGGGGUAAUAGCCUACCAAGGCAAUGAUCUAUAGCUGAUCUGAGAGGAUGAUCAGCCACACUGGAACUGAGAUACGGUCCAGACUCCUACGGGAGGCAGCAGUGGGGAAUAUUGGACAAUGGGCGAAAGCCUGAUCCAGCCAUGCCGCAUGAGUGAAGAAGGCCUUCGGGUUGUAAAGCUCUUUUAGUGAGGAAGAUAAUGACGGUACUCACAGAAGAAGUCCUGGCUAACUCCGUGCCAGCAGCCGCGGUAAUACGGAGAGGGCUAGCGUUAUUCGGAAUCAUUGGGCGUAAAGGGCGCGUAGGCGGAUUAGUAAGUUAAAAGUGAAAUCCCAAGGCUCAACCUUGGAAUUGCUUUUAAAACUGCUAGUCUAGAGAUUGAAAGAGGAUAGAGGAAUUCCUAGUGUAGAGGUGAAAUUCGUAAAUAUUAGGAGGGACACCAGUGGCGAAGGCGUCUAUCUGGUUCAAAUCUGACGCUGAGGCGCGAAGGCGUGGGGAGCAAACAGGAUUAGAUACCCUGGUAGUCCACGCUGUAAACGAUGAAUGUUAAAUAUGGGAAGUUUACUUUCUGUAUUACAGCUAACGCGUUAAACAUUCCGCCUGGGGACUACGGUCGCAAGAUUAAAACUCAAAGGAAUUGACGGGGACCCGCACAAGCGGUGGAGCAUGUGGUUUAAUUCGAUGCAACGCGAAAAACCUUACCACUCCUUGACAUGAAAAU